RNA transcript from Nilaparvata lugens (brown planthopper), 6072 nucleotides. RefSeq lists it as uncharacterized. NCBI's taxonomy places the organism in Eukaryota, Metazoa, Arthropoda, Insecta, Hemiptera, Delphacidae. The transcript is spliced from 9 exons. The record is from RefSeq and is a predicted model, not a curated record.
GUUUAUAUAAAUUAUGACAGUGUUGUCAAUAUGCAUGUUUUGUUUCUAAUCUUUCCAUGUACUUUAUCGGUUAUUUUUUAAAGUGUUUGUAUAAUUUGAGCUAAAUGUGAUUUAUUCUUAUCAUCAAUUAUUAAUCAUUCUGCUAUUUUGAAACUUUUCAUGGUAUUUUUAAUUGUAUUGAACUAGACCCUCAGACCUACAUAGAGUUUUAUGAGGUCAUCAGACUGAGUUUGAUGAUGAACUAAUGAUUUAAUUAUGGAAAAUUUGAUAAGAUUCUUGUCAGUUUUAGUAAUUUUUUCAUGUGACUUUGACUUUUUAAAAUUCGUAAACUCCAAACCACCAGACAAGGAUCAAAAUGAACAGACAUUUACACCAAGAAUCCAAAUACGUGCCAUACUUAUCAGGUGUCCUCAGCACAUUAUACCUGAUAACAAGGUUAGGGCUGGGGGGACAUCCAAUGAUGAUAAGGUGAUAUCUGUGCUGCGAACUGAUGACAUUAUGCGAUUCUCAGGAUUUGACAAGGAUGAACUGUUGAUGCAUUCUGAGGUAAAGAAUUGUAAAAGGAAAAUGAUUAUUACGAUGAUGAUUAACAAUUCAGGAAGGACGGUUACUGAAGAGGAAUUUGUAGUGGUAGAUCAUGUUUAUGAUCCCGAUCUCCAUAAACGAUCACGUCUGCUAAAUCCAUUAGUUUUCAAGAUAAAACAAGACGCUGUUUUGCAACUUUAUGGCAUGCGGUAUCUUCAGUCUGUAAACGCUAUGGCUAGAGAAGAAGUGCUCAAUAAGGGAAUGAAUAACUUCACAGGGUGUGACACCACAUCAUCCCAGCCCACAUGCGGAAUGGUGUUACAUAACAAGCGAGUUGUCCCGUUCAGUGAGGGAUUCUGUUGCUCUUGUGACUCCUAUGUGAACGUCCAACGGCAGCCGGGGUUGAGCAUUGUGCGCCAACAGAAACAGUUCUCAGAUCGCAAAGAGAGUCAUUUUGCUGACGAGAAAAACUCCAACGAUGCUGACAAAUAUUAUCACGAAAAAUCGAAACGAGAUGUCAAUGAACCGAAAGAUGAUAAAUAUCUACGAAAAAGAAAUAAAGAGAUGGAAAACAGAGAUUAUUCAAUAAAAAAUUCCAACAAUCUUGAUGUGCUACGCUCGAAAUACAUGGCAAGCGAUUUCGAUUUCGCAAAAAACGGAUUCUACACACCGCAAAUCGUGAGAAAAAGCAGUUUGGGUGACACUCUAAACAAAUUCUCAAAUCCUGAAGACAGUCUCUCGUGGGAACAGCACAAAGGCAGAUUGUAUGAUAAAAGUAGUAGAAUACUGUGGAAUAACGAUAAUGCCAAUCAGAUGCCGAAUAACAGCGAAGAGGACGAAUUUGAAGAUGGCGAUAGUGAGGGGAAGAAGAAGAGAAGUGCGGAUGAAGAGGGAGGACAGAGUUUGCAUGAGGAACGGAAAAAGAUCACAAAGAGAGAAGAAGGUGAAGAGAGGAAGGGAGAGGGUCACGAUGAGGAGGGAAGAGAACUUGAAUUGAAUAGUGAAGAGAAAAAUAGAACUGAUUCAAAUUAUGAAAUUAAGGAAAAACUUGGAGAACGAAAUGAGAAUUUACAAAGAAUAAGGAGGGAUGAGAAAGAUGCUGGGAUGGAAGAAAGUGAAGAUAUGAAUUUGGAAAUAAAUAAAAAAGGAAUAUUAGAUAGUAUUGGAAGAAGUGGAAUUGACCAUAAUAAUUAUAGAAUGGAGAAUAGGUAUGGUAUGUUGAAUACUCGAAACACAGAGGAAGGGCCUGGACAUAGGUUGAAUUCGUAUAAGAAAGACAUUGAUAAUCUUUAUGAUUUAGAAAGAGGGGAAGAAAAGUUGAAUGUUGAAGACGAAAAUACGAUUAAUGAAAAUAGUGAAGUUGAGGCAGAUCCUGGUACAGACUCUGAUCAUUUAGAUGGCUUGAAUGGAGUUGAAAAAGAAAUUUACGACGGAGAUUUAAAAAUGAAAAAAGUACGAAGUGUUCAUGAUGAACCAGAGAGCUUGAUGCGCAGUAGCCUGAGAGUGACCGAAGAGAAACCAUACUGGCUGAGACCGAAAGAUUGGACGAGCCUGAAGGCGCUGAAGCUCAGAUUGAAAGGUCUGAAACCCAAUUCUCCACAAUUUCAAAACUCGUAUCAACCCGCUCACAGAUACGUGAAGGUUCUAGAAGAAAAUCGCCCGGUUAUGGAAAACGCCAAAGGUUUCCAAGUGUCCGACUUUCGACCUAGUUGGAACCCUAGCUCAAAAAUAAAGUUUCAUAAACCUUCACCCUGGGACAUAUUCCCUAAAAAAUGUGCCACCGAUAAACGUAAGCACAGUAUACUUCGACUUUUGACUAAACUCAAUGAGGAACGGUGUCAUCCUGAUGAAGACUUCAAAAUUUCAGAUAAUUUGAUGAAAAAUUCUGGACAAGAUUCGAAAUUAUUUGAUAGUUUGAUGAAAGAUAUCGAGAGAAAGCUGGUGCGGAAUAGCAGGAACAAUGUGAAUGAAACUGAACAAUCCAAUUUGAAUCAUACUGAGAGUCUCGGCGAAGAGUCAUCCAACAAAUUUAGUAAGAAUGAUUGUGCGGAAGCGUGGAGUGAACUUCAAACACUCCUCUUAGAAGAAGCUAUAGAGGAGAAGUUAUGUCUACAUGAUAGAAAUAGAACCUCAAAUGAGUCAAACAUCGCUUACAAUACGGAAGAUAAAAACAUUAUUGAUAGACUAAGGCGACAAAUCGAUCGUUGGGUUGAUGAUUAUUUUGAAAUAGAUGCAUCGAACAUUCAUGAUAAUUCAAGCAACAAAUAUAUGAACGGUGAUGAUUUGGUAAUGCCUGUAAACGAAGGUGAUUAUCUAUAUUUCGUGGACCCUGCUCAAAAUCUUGCGUCAUCGGAUGGGUUGUUAAGGUAUCCUUAUAGGAAUAUCGGGGAGAAUGGAGAGGUUGGAGGUAGGAAUUCUCAAAAUUUUGUUUUUGACGAUGGACAAAUGUUUCCAGGACUGGAUAAUAUUGAUGCAAUGUCCGAGAACGAUAGGAAUGCUAGUAGUUUGUAUGAAUUUCGUCAAAGAAAUAGGAAUGCACUGGGUCUGUUACCAGGAGCUGGGAAAAUUUUCAACUCUGAUGAAGAUAAUUUCUAUGGAAAUUCACGUGAACAGUCGAAAAUUGAUGUUAAGAAAAAUAAUAAUUGGAAAAGUGCUGUUGAUGAAAAUUUGGUAUUGAAUUAUCCAGAUUUGCCACUAAAAGAGAAGAUUGAUGGGAAAAUUCACCCAGAAGGCUCUCUAGUGAAUGAUUAUGAUAAAAACCACAUGAUGAUUAAUAAAGAAGAAGAAAAUAGUGGUCCAAACGAAUUUCAUCUAAAUCCACCACUACACUUCCAUAGUGAUUCUGGUCCUGUAUUCAUUGAUGUAACCAAGUAUGGUCCACUAUUGGAUACACGACCUUUGGAAAUAUCGAAGUCCUCAUUCAAUUCCUUUCCAUUGAUACAUAACGAUCUAGAUCUAAUCAAUUCUCCAGAUUUCGAUAAAAUGAGAAGUGUUCACAGUAAAUUUUCAAUAAAAUUGAAUUCACCAGAGAAAUCCUCCCCGGAAUUAUUGGAUAGUAAUUUGCAGGAUCAUAGAAUAAUAACGGAUGGAUCUGGAGAGAAUUCAAAUAGGAACUUUCAUAAUGAAGAAACUGAACAUACAGGAAAAAUUUCAAACUCAGGAAGUGAUAAUCCGAAUUCGAAAGGAAAAGAAAGUUCAGGAUUGAAACAUAAUUCAAUGUUUGAUAGACGAGAUUCUUACUUCAUUGACAAUAACUCAAAUACAAACAGGGAUGAAAGUUCUCUCCUCAUUAAUAACAACUUCAAUUCAAACUCGACUAAACUUGGGGGCUUCAAAUUUGGGAGGGAUUUUGAUCAAAAUGCUAGAAAUUAUCCGGAUCCUAGUAACAGAUUGGUAGGCUCAGGAGCCAGUAACAUGUAUAAAUUUGAAGAUGAGAAUUCUUAUAAAUUAGCAAAUAAUGCUAUGAUGUUUGAUGAUAUGCCUGUCCCCAAUAAUGUGUCUCAUAUGUCGCGAAAUGAUAAUUUGUCUCACAAAUCCUAUCAUGUUUACAAACAGGAAAUUGAGUCACCGUUUAUUAUCGAUACAUCUCAUGAUAAACAUAACCCAAACUUUAAAGUCAUGAAUUCUAAUGACAAUGAUAUUGAUGAUAAAAGAUCACAUUUCUUGGAGGUUGCCACAGAAUUCGGGAGCCCUUCAAUAUUGAAUACAUCGGAUAUGCAGUAUCUAUUGCAAAAUGCUAUGGAUAGUGGAGGGACUGAGAAUUCAACCUCAUCCGUUUCCAAAAACGCGUUCAAAGGUGAGUUUGACAAUACAACACCAUCUGAUUUCCAAGAAAGUUUUUUGUUCAACACCUCGAAAGCGGCCCCUAUUCUCAUCUCCGGAAAUGUAGGAAAUAUCUACGGCCAAAAAGGGAAACUCAUUUUUAUUCCUGAUGAUGAUGAUGAUUCUGAAGAAGUGACUACUAAGAAACAAGUCCCCUAUCGAGGAAAUUUCAUAGGAAACUAUAACUCAAGGUUAUAUCCACCAAUGAGUGAAUCCAAUAUGAGUUAUCCUGGCUUGAUGAACUCUGGGGGAACAUGUAAUGUGGGGAAACAAGGCUAUGGGAUAUCACAUAUGGGAAAAGACAAUAUAAAUGUCAAAUCGAGGAUAUUUCCUUCAUUUUUGAAAAACUGGUCAAGGACUCCAGAUGGAAGUUAUCUGGAUACAAGUCAUGUAAAAGUUUCCAAAAUUAGAAGUGUUUCUAAUACUGAUAACUCACAAUCAAAUUUAGUACAAAGGAACAAUAAGUUGAAUUACAGUUCGAAUGAACAUAUUACUUGUGAAAUGAGAGUUUCAAAUGAACUGUCAAGCAAUGAAGCUGAAAUUCAUGAUAAUUUUGUCUCGCCCAGACAAAUCUCAACGCUAGACAAAUCGUUUAAUAAUGUUGACUCAUUCAGUACAGUUCCAAAGAAGAUCCUUGAUAAAUAUGGGUUAAAAAGAGACGUAAGUGGGUUGAUGGAAGAUGAGAAGAUUGAGAAACGAGACAUUGGGAAGGUAUGUGAAUCAAGACUGAAGAAAAAUUCGAAAAAAGUUAGGAGACAAGUCAGUUCAAAUGGGAAUCAAAUCAGAGGAGGUCAGAAUUGCAUUGAUCGAUAUGUACCUUCAGGAGCCAAUCCCAUAACUUACCAUGAAAGUGCACAUUGUUUGAGAUUCAGCGAAUUAUGGUACUCUGUGUACACCUUGAAAAAGCCAAGUCUUGAUCAUUCCCUGCACCUUCAAACUGUAUGAGAAAGCUAAUUUCCCUCAUGCCACUCAUUGGGAAGAGCUGACCAGAGGAAUUACCACUGAUUUGGGAACGGGCAAUCGGCACAUAGAAGAUGGCUACUCGACACUGUCAUUCACGUACAUUCCACUGACCGACCUGAUGCGAGGGGACUUCUGCCUAGACGAGCACAGGGCCACCCUUCUCGUCCCGGAGUCCCUGCCUCCUGAUCUGGCUGCCAAGUACCCUCAACUCAAUGGUAGUCCAAACGAGUAUCUGUUGGUGCAGAGUGACGACAUCUCAUUGGAGGGUGACGAAUGUAACAAGGUGGGAACUAGUUUCGAAGGUUUCGCCACUCAGCCUGACAGGUGUGCUCAGCCGCGAGGUACCUGUCUGCAAAAUCAACCGAUUGAUAUGUGGACUCAUGAUAUUAUGGCACGCGAUGAGGGAAGACCUGGCAAGUUUUUCUUGGAGAACUAUGCAAUUGUGGCCGAGCAGCCUCUUCUAAUGAAUCACUCCUCACAGGAACAGUCUCUGGCUCUCGAAUAUUACAGACAGUUCUCCACCAUCAUUGAAAUUGAAGUCAAGUCAGACUUGAAUGCGAUUGUACGAACCGGCGAAUCAGGCCAACUGUCGGAAAUAUACGUGGACAGCACGUGUCACUCGAACACGAAGCUCACAGUGAUCGUAACCAACCAGGGCCUGGCCUCAUCUGCCUACUACCCAAAGCUGUCCAAUUGCCCCGUGGAACUGCCCGAGGUGUGGACGCACAACGUGGGGCCUCUCGUCAUGAUAGCACCCCAGCA